CCUACGGGAGGCAGCAGUGAGGAAUAUUGGUCAAUGGACGAGAGUCUGAACCAGCCAAGUAGCGUGAAGGAUGACUGCCCUAUGGGUUGUAAACUUCUUUUAUAAAGGAAUAAAACGAGGCACGUGUGCCUUUUUGCAUGUACUUUAUGAAUAAGGAUCGGCUAACUCCGUGCCAGCAGCCGCGGUAAUACGGAGGAUCCGAGCGUUAUCCGGCUUUAUUGGGUUUAAAGGGAGCGUAGAUGGGUUGUUAAGUCAGUUGUGAAAGGUUGCGGCUCAACCGUAAAAUUGCAAUUGAUACUGGCAGUCUUGAGUACAGUUGAGGUAGGCGGAAUUCGUGGUGUAGCGGUGAAAUGCUUAGAGAUCACGAAGAACCCCGAUUGCGAAGGCAGCUUACUAAACUGUGACUGACAUUGAUGCUCGAAAGUGUGGGUAUCAAACAGGAUUAGAUACCCUUGUAGUC
Molecule: ribosomal RNA, 460 nt
Filed under: uncultured bacterium
Lineage: Bacteria
Description: partial 16S ribosomal RNA
Rfam family: Bacterial small subunit ribosomal RNA
Source: RNAcentral